Prosopis cineraria is the source of this 1996-nucleotide RNA transcript. RefSeq lists it as uncharacterized. NCBI's taxonomy places the organism in Eukaryota, Viridiplantae, Streptophyta, Magnoliopsida, Fabales, Fabaceae. The transcript has 15 exons. The record is from RefSeq and is a predicted model, not a curated record.
CCCUUGAGGCCAGUUAGGCCCCAAAAAAAAAAAAAUGAAAGAAAAUGGUUCCUGGAGGCCCGGAGCAGAUUUCUAUCUGCCUGCAGAAGAAGUUCCCAGCUUCCGAGUUGCGAUCUACCAGUCUCUUCUCCGGCGAUGCUCUAGUGAUAUUGCCACUGUCACAUACACUAACGACGAAGACGAGAUGAGAGAGUCUAAUGGCAACAGCAAGAUUCGAUGGUUUUGGAUUUGGGUGAUUGCUUCCAUCAUUUUCAGGCUCAUCCUCAUUUACUUUCCCAAAAGCCUCAACCUCUCUUCUCGCCCAGAAGUUUCCACUCCUCUAACCAGCAUCCGUCGUCUGGCCGAGGGAUACUGGUUGAAGCAGUCUUCAUUGUCACCAUAUGCAGGAUCAAUGUACCACGGGUCUCCUCUGUUAUUGACGCUCCUCGGUCCGCUAACGGUUAGAAGAAUUGAAGGACAACCGGAUCAUCUCUUAUGCAGUUUGGUUCUUGUGAUUGCAGAUGCAGUUAGUGCAAUGCUCAUUCGUGCUGCUGGUCAAAGCCUUAAGAUGUCAUCCAGCUCAAGUUUAAAAUCCAUAGGCCUUCCUCACUUACUAGAAUACUCAGAGGUUCUUCCUUCUGGUGAUAUUGCUGCUCUUGUAUACCUAUGGAAUCCUUUCACAAUAGUAGCUUGUGUUGGUUUGUCCACAUCUGCAAUUGAGAACUUGAUGAUUGUACUGUCAAUUUAUGGAGGAUGUAAACGACAAGCUCCACUGGCAGCUUUUGGGUGGGUCAUGGCUACACAUUUGUCUCUGUACCCUGCAAUCUUGAUUAUCCCAGUGGUGUUGUUAUUUGGCUAUGGUCCAGAUGCUCCUCCUAGGAAACUGUUACAGCAAAGGACAAAAAUGGACAGUUCGUCUUCAAUUGAUAACAGUUUUGUAGAAAAGGAUGUGAAGGAUCAGCUAAGGGGGCUGAAUUUCUUUUCAUGGAAGCCAGUCUUGCAUUUUUUGUUCUGGAUUUUGCUGUGGUCAUCCUAUGUUUUAGUUUUAUGUGGCAUUUUUGCCAGACAGCAUGGUGGUCUCAAAGAGUUGUUUAAAAGAACUUAUGGCUUCAUUCUUACUAUACCUGAUCUGUCUCCAAACAUAGGUGUUCUGUGGUACUUCUUUGCAGAAGUUUUUGACUUCUUCAGAAAUUUUUUUCUAAUAGUAUUCCAUGGGAAUGUUUUGUUGAUGAUUGUACCAUUAGCCCUACGGCUUAAUCACCGCCCAUGCUUUCUAGCUUUUGUAUAUACUGUGAUUGCUUGUAUGCUGAAGUCAUAUCCAUCAGUUGGUGAUUCAGCUCUAUACUUGGGUAUACUGGGGUUAUUUGCUUAUGAACUCUCUGACAUGAAGUUUUCAUUCUUCCUGUUUUGUGGUUAUGUUGGUGUUUCACUCCUUAGCCCUGUGAUGCACAAUCUAUGGAUAUGGCGGGGUACUGGGAAUGCGAACUUCUACUUUGCAACUGCAAUUACUUAUGCUUGCUUGCAGCUUAUUCUGGUGGUUGAAAGUGUUAGUGCCGUGCUCAAUCACGACAGAAUGCUUACAAAGUUAACCGUGGCAAAGCUUCAAGAUGUCAAGCCUUGAAGAACUCAUUAGAAGCAUGCUUGCAUAUAUCAACGGAGGUUCUCUGGAUUCUGUGAGCUCCAGAAGAAGGAUCAUGACUUGGCUUCCACGAUCCAUGACUGUGCCAUUAUAUGUAGGAAAGAAAAGAGUAAAAAGGUGGUUCAAAGUGACGUCAUGGCUGACUAUCUUUUAGAAACAGGGCCCCCCUAGAGCCCCGGAAUGUAAGGAACAAUGCACUGGUUGGUCGGAUAAUUUGGAACAUGCCUUGUGAGGGAUCAACUGCAGGUAGUAGCAGGUUGCACAAUUGCGUGUGGAUGGCUCCCUCCAUUAUUCAUGUUGUUAUGCUGCUGCUGUGGCUACUUUGUGUUGCGUUUCAUUGACCACGUGCUUGAUGAUAGUAAAUGCCAUCUUCAUCCC